RNAcentral lists this long non-coding RNA (1450 nucleotides) under Gossypium barbadense (sea-island cotton). RNAcentral's name for it is "long non-coding RNA (GBAR_LNC016939)". The record is from RNAcentral. Lineage: Eukaryota; Viridiplantae; Streptophyta; Magnoliopsida; Malvales; Malvaceae.
UGCGAUGUGUAGCUUCGAUCUCUUACUCAGUGGUCUUGAAUGGGUUGGUGGGUAAUUCAUUCUUUCCAUCGAGGGGUCUGCAUCAAUGGGGCCCACUAAGUCCCAAUCUUUUUCUUAUUUGCGAUAAAGGUUUAUCUGCUCUCAUUCAAAUGACAGAUAUAAGGGGGUGAUCUCAAAGGUUUUCGAAUAAAUAGGCAUGCCCCUCUUGUCAUUCACUUAUUUUUCGCAAAUGAUAGUCUAAUAUUUGGUGAUGCAACAGUUGAUGUGGCUAGGGUUCUUAAAGAAAAGCUGGAGAUUUAGGCUCAAAGUUCGGGCCAAGUGGUAAACUUUGAUAAAUCUGGGGUAUUUUUCAGCUUAAAUGUUCAUCAAAAUAAUAGAGAGGAGGUGUGUCGACUUUUGGGAGUGAAUUCGAGUAUUAAUCCGAAAAAAUAUCUUGAUCUCCCUCCAAUGGUGGGGCGAAAUAAGAAAAGAGUAUUUAAGGAGAUUAAAGAGAAGCUAAUUAAAAGGGUUUCUAGUUGGAGUUCGAAACUACUUUUAAUGGGUGGGAGAGAAGUUUUAAUAUCGCACUUUAUCAUUAGAAAUGCAGAAUGUCUCAUAAUGGGUUCGAGGCGAAGCUAGGGCCAUAAAAUAAAAAAUUAUUAUUCAGGCUUUUUUUAUAAAUUUAAAUUAGUAAAUAUAAAAUUGUACUUUCGUCUCCCCUAAAAAAUUGUUUUAGCUUCACUCUUGGGUUCGGGGAUCAAAGUACAUAACCUGGUCAGAUCAAUGGUGAUAGUCAAAGUGACAGCAGUUCUUCACGGGCUCCAAUUUGCAUUAGAUAUGGGCUUCAUAAAUGCCAUUCUGGAAAGUGAUUCGAAGCUGGUUAUCCAGAAUAUUCAACAAAUGAGUGAAGAUUACUCGGAAUCUAGACCACUCACCUGGGAUGCGAAGGUUCUUGCAAGGAACUUUAUUUCUUGUUAAUUUCAAUUUGUUGCAUGAGAAGGGAACGCUGCAACGCAUGCAGUGGCUGUCGAAGGUUUGCGAACGCAAGUGGACUCAUUCUGGGUUGAAGAUGCUUCAACAAAAGUUUUGGAAGUGGUAGACUCAGAUCGACGAUUCAGUCAUCCACCCUAGCCUCCUCUACUAUGAUGUUGAUUUUUGAGUUGCGAAAUUUCAAAAUCUUCCUGUAAAUCUCAACUCGCCUCCUUGUCUGGCCGAUCUUUCACCAUAAUUUUGGGGGUUAUGGCCGUUUGGUGUUUCAGGUACGCGAAGGGACUGGAAGAAGGUUCUGGAGAGGGUUGUGUUUCUAUUUUAUUUUGUUUUCGUUACUAUGCUGUUAGAACUUUACUUUUGUUUGCUUGUUGGAUUACUUUUGGACUUCUUUAUUUUUUGGUCUUCCAGGCCCAUAUAUUUCAAACGGACUUUGACUAAAAAAAUUAAAUUUGAAAAUAAAUAUACGAAUGAAUUAUUUUAA